Phocoena sinus (vaquita) is the source of this 3521-nucleotide long non-coding RNA. NCBI's taxonomy places the organism in Eukaryota, Metazoa, Chordata, Mammalia, Artiodactyla, Phocoenidae. The record is from Ensembl.
GAGGCGAGCGCGGGUACCUGCGAACGCACCAGCUGAGCCCUCGGCAGCUGGAGACCCCGCGCCAGUUUGGUUUGGGGUAAGAGGAGGGGUCCGCAUCUCUGAAGCUCGGGCGUGAUGAGCCGGCGCCCCUAAACCGGCGUGAUGCUCGGUUUGGUUUGGACUUGCGCUGCCCUUUACUUGGGUCGCGGGGAUGCGAGUGGAAAAGCGGGCACCAAGUCCUGUAGGCUGGGUCCUGCGGCCGCGGCCGAAGUAACGGUGUAAAGAUGGACUGAUCCCGCCCAGAGCCUUCUCAACCCCAGGUGAUCCUUAUCCUCCGCCCUCCCAGGCCUUCCGUCCGUGCUCUGGGAGCCCAGCCUGACGUUUGUUAUUCAGAAAAUGUGCUUGUCAGGGGGAGGCCUAGGUUGAACACGCGCCCCCGAGUCUCCCAGGUGAAACCCUCGACACUUAUCCUUCUCUGCCGCCGCAUUUUACAGAAGACGAGCCCAGCCCCGAGAAGGGAAGAAACUGGCCCAAGGUCACAUCGUAGUCAGAGGCAGAGCCAGGACCGAAGCCAGUAGCCCUGCCUUCUAGCCUGAGAUCUAGGCACUGCUCCCUUACCGCAUCUCUCUGGGUGUUCCCGCAUCCCUCGUCCUCCUGCCGCGUCCUCCACGAGGCUCUGUUUUCGGGGACUUGGUUGGGGGGGGAGGGGGAGUGCUUCCUCCUCUCAUGCUGCGCCCUCGGGAAGGAUGCUGGACAUUAUUCAGGCCGCCUGUCCAGUUUCCUUGAGCACGAGCUGAGCCGGCUGUUAACUGGAGGACCGCAGAGGCCGCAGGACCGGGGGAGGAGGAGGACCGAGCAAGUUGGAGGCGCCGCGGGAGCAGGCCGGAGAUGCUGGGUUGGUGGUGGGCCCGCGGCCGGGGAAGGCCCGGAACCUCUACCGCUCACAGAACCCACCCGGAGGAGCCUGGCCAUUCUGCCUCUCGUGGCCACUGUGCUGACUGCCCGCUUCUCCAGACCCCUGUCACAGCCCCUGAGGAAAACCCUGAAUUUCUCUGAUAGAGUAAAUGGAACAAGGUGCUGCUGUGUGAGACCUCCUUCCUCUCCAGCUGCCCUUGCGUCAUCCACAUUUGUCCUUCCUAAACCCAUCUUGUUAGAUUCAGGCUGUCAAGCUGACUCCUGACUCCUCUCAGCAGAAAGCUGGGUAACUGGUUAUUGUUGCUGAUUUGUGACGGAAGGAACAAAAGGGAUAGAGACAUAGACUGGAAGGAGGGAAGAGAAGCCAGCAUUAAUGCCUUGGCCAGCACAGGGUGGUGUCUCGAAUGUGGCCCGGUUAGGAUGGAAAUCAGCAAGCUCUCGUCCUCUGAAUCUGGAGGCCACCUCUUUGGGAUUCACCCCUCAGCAAGUUUACUGACUACCCUGAGUUUAACUUGUACCACCUGUGAGACUGGCCUAGCUAUUAGAAGGCUCGCUGCUGUUUCACUCUGCCUCCUUUGUCCCUGUUGACCGUCGGACUUACACGCUGCUUCGGUGAACCCAGUUGCCAGCAAAGCUGUCUUGGUCACAGGCUGUGACUCUGGAUUUGGGUUCUCCUUGGCCAAGCAUCUGCAUUCAAAAGGCUUCCUUGUAUUUGCUGGCUACUUGAUGAAGGUGGUGCCCUCCCUGAGCUUUCAGACCAGAUGCCUUUCCUAAGCUGGUGGCCGCUCUGAAUCGUACUCCACCCAUCGACCCCAGCAGGAACCUUCCGGGAGACAAGUGCAUUCUCCCCACUCCCAUUGCCUGCACCGUGGAGGGCACAUUUUGAUGGCGAGUUUGAUGCCUUUCACCCUGGCUCUGUGGAACAGUUGCUGCCAAAGCCAGGGGAGCCAGCCGUGGUGGUGAGAUGAAGGGCAUUGUCCGAUUAGAGCUGGUGAGCCAUCUGCCACGAGCCCCUUUGCUCCCCAGCAGGGCUCUGAGGGACUGGACAUCCAGAGCCUGUAACCAGCCCUCUCCUCCCCACUGCAGGGAAAGGCCAAGUGAGUAGACCAACCAGCAGGCUGUGGGCCUGGCCUGAUCUUGAAACCAUCCCUUAUCUUGCAUUCAGUAAACAUUUAUUGAGUGCCUACUGUAUACUUGGUAGUAUGCUGAGCACCCAAAAGGGUAUGAGCAGGGAGGAGAAGUUUGUAGUUGGGCACCAGCCAAGUGGAUGUCAGUGGCUUCACGGUGGGACCAAUGAGGAACAGUUAUAGCACUGGAGACAUUAUGCCACGGACAGGGAAGACCCUACAUCUGGGGCACCCUUGGUCUGGGAGUGAGAAGACUGGAGUUACUCUGGGCUUAGCCUCUUACUAGAAGUGUGAUCUUGGGCUUGUCCCUUCACCUGUGAGGGUCUCAGCUUGUCCAUCUGUGAGGCUCACAUGUCAAUCUGACCACGGCAGGAGCAUUUCAACUAAAGCUGCUCUCAGACUGAGGGGCAGGGGAGCUGAGCAGAGCCAGGAAGCAGCGGAGGCAGGAGGGGCUACGAUGUCAGAGGAGUGGCAGGCUGUUCAGGCUCAGAGAGGGCAGAGUCCUUGGUGGGGAGUGGGUGAGAAGCAUGGGAAAGGAGGCCUCGCAUGCCCCACUCCGGAAGGGAAGCAUAGGAGCAGGAAGUGGUUGACCGAGGAGGAGGGUCUGCCGGAGGGGGUCAGAGCAGGAUGGAGGAGGAGGAAAGAGACUGUGACAGGGAGACCUGGGAGGGCUUCUCCAACAACAUAGGAGGGAGGCAACAGGGACCCAAACUAAUGCUGUAGACACAGGAAAGAAGGCACCGAUUCUAAGGACGCAGCAAAGGAAGGCAACAGCAGCACAGGGUUAAGUGCCAGCGCUGUGUCCUCACACAGACCUGGGUCCUAAUGCCCUCCUGUCCACUGGUUAGCUGGGUGACACUGAGCAAGGUUCUUAACCUCUCUGAGCCUCAGUUGCCUCAUCCAGAUAUGGAACAAUUUAGUAUCUAUCGUACUCUUUUCUAGGUUGGUUGUGAGGAUCAGGAGAAUGAAUGGAUGCAAAGUGCUUAGUUCAGGGCCUGGCAGCUGUCCUUUUGAUCUUUCUCAGUAAUAUUAAUAGUACUCUUGACUCAUUAGAUGGGGAAGAGAUGAAGGGGCUGGAGGAGUCGAAGAUGACAGUGAAACUAUUAGCAAGGAAGAGGAGCAGGCUUGGGCCACUGGGCACUUGGUGUGUUGGUUGGUUAGGAUGAGUUGGGGACCUGUGGGACAUGCAGGUAAGAGCGAUGGUCUGGAGGAGGAGGUGGGGUUGGGAGGAGCCAUGACUCCCUGGGGGUACAUUGGAACAGUUACUCGGAGGUGGCGAUGGGGCCGUUGCAGGAGAACAGCUGUCACCCAGACCAGCAGGAAUGUCAUGAGUUUAUUCAGAAUGCUGGCUGAGGACUCCAGUGAGCUCCUUCGUCCACAGACCGUUGCUACUUAUCAUGUCGUCAGAGUUGUGAUCCAGGAACAGUGUGCUUCCACAGGUCAAGUUCAGUUAAACUUUUUUCGUUAUCGGUGUCAGAUGUAAUUAAAUUUUAGCUGGAU